RNAcentral lists this ribosomal RNA (827 nucleotides) under uncultured archaeon. RNAcentral's name for it is "bacterial SSU rRNA". It matches the Rfam family "Archaeal small subunit ribosomal RNA", at positions 21 to 855 of the family's 1478-position model. The record is from RNAcentral.
CCUGACUGCUAUCGGAUUGAUACUAAGCCAUGCGAGUCUUUGUGGCAAUACAAGGCAUACGGCUCAGUAACGCGUAGUCAACCUAACCUAUGGACGGGAAUAACCUCGGGAAACUGAGAAUAAUGCCCGAUAGAACACUAUACCUGGAAUGGUUUGUGUUCCAAAUGAUUUAUCGCCGUAGGAUGGGACUGCGGCCUAUCAGUUUGUUGGUGAGGUAAUGGCCCACCAAGACUAUUACAGGUACGGGCUCUGAGAGGAGUAGCCCGGAGAUGGGUACUGAGACACGGACCCAGGCCCUAUGGGGCGCAGCGGGCGAGAAAACUUUGCAAUGUGCGAAAGCACGACAAGGUUAAUCCGAGUGGUUUCUGCUAAAGGAACCUUUUGUUAGUCAUAGAACCACUAACGAAUAAGGGGUGGGCAAGUUCUGGUGUCAGCCGCCGCGGUAAAACCAGCACCUCAAGUGGUCAGGAUGAUUAUUGGGCCUAAAGCAUCCGUAGCCGGCUCUGUAAGUUUUCGGUUAAAUCUGUACGCUCAACGUACAGGCUGCCGGGAAUACUGCAGAGCUAGGGAGUGGGAGAGGUAGACGGUACUCGGUAGGAAGUGGUAAAAUGCUUUGAUCUAUCGAUGACCACCUGUGGCGAAGGCGGUCUACCAGAACACGUCCGACGGUGAGGGAUGAAAGCUGGGGGAGCAAACCGGAUUAGAUACCCGGGUAGUCCCAGCUGUAAACUAUGCAAACUCAGUGAUGCAUUGGCUUGUGGCCAAUGCAGUGCUGCAGGGAAGCCGUUAAGUUUGCCGCCUGGGAAGUACGUACGCAAGUAUGAAAC